GUUUAUAUAGCUUAUUUUAUUAGAGUAUAUCAGUGAAGUUGAUAGGGAAAUUUUGUAUUUGUAAAUA
This 67-nucleotide transfer RNA is filed under the name Nesophrosyne sp. 281 GMB-2012. RNAcentral's name for it is "tRNA-Phe". The record is from RNAcentral. Lineage: Eukaryota; Metazoa; Arthropoda; Insecta; Hemiptera; Cicadellidae.